AGAGUUUGAUCCUGGCUCAGAAUCAACGCUGGCGGCGUGCCUCAGACAUGCAAGUCGAACGAUUAAAGCUCUCUUCGGAGAGUGCAUAGAGUGGCGCACGGGUGAGUAACACGUAAGUAAUCUACCCUCGAGUGGGGAAUAACGUCCGGAAACGGACGCUAAUACCGCAUAAUGCAGCGGCACCGCAAGGUGACAGUUGUUAAAGGAGAAAUUCGCUUGAGGAGGAGCUUGCGGCAGAUUAGCUAGUUGGUAAGGUAAUGGCUUACCAAGGCUACGAUCUGUAACCGGUCUAAGAGGACGGUCGGUCACACUGACACUGAAUAACGGGUCAGACUCCUACGGGAGGCAGCAGUCGGGAAUUUUGGGCAAUGGGGGAAACCCUGACCCAGCAACGCCGCGUGAAGGAUGAAGUAUUUCGGUAUGUAAACUUCGAAAGAAUAGGAAGAAUCAAUGACGGUACUAUUUAUAAGGUCCGGCUAACUACGUGCCAGCAGCCGCGGUAAUACGUAGGGACCAAGCGUUGUUCGGAUUUACUGGGCGUAAAGGGCGCGUAGGCGGCGCUGUAAGUCACUUGUGAAAUCUCCGGGCUUAACUCGGAACGGCCAAGUGAUACUGCAGUGCUAGAGUGCAGAAGGGGCAAUCGGAAUUCUUGGUGUAGCGGUGAAAUGCGUAGAUAUCAAGAGGAACACCUGAGGUGAAGACGGGUUGCUGGGCUGACACUGACGCUGAGGCGCGAAAGCCAGGGGAGCAAACGGGAUUAGAUACCCCGGUAGUCCUGGCCCUAAACGAUGAAUACUUGG
This 800-nucleotide ribosomal RNA is filed under the name uncultured bacterium. RNAcentral describes it as "bacterial SSU rRNA". It matches the Rfam family "Bacterial small subunit ribosomal RNA", at positions 8 to 820 of the family's 1533-position model. The record is from RNAcentral.